This 517-nucleotide long non-coding RNA is filed under the name Coturnix japonica (Japanese quail). RNAcentral's name for it is "lncRNA (ENSCJPG00005008401.1)". Lineage: Eukaryota; Metazoa; Chordata; Aves; Galliformes; Phasianidae. The record is from RNAcentral.
AUGGUGGCCAUCCUUUCACAUUAUUUCAUGCUAUUGUGGCAAAUAACUUGUGUUACCCUUGCAUAUGCUAAUUUAUUUCUGUCACUCAGCCUGCAGCACUGCCAUUAUGUUAUUUGUUCCAAAGUGACUUUUGAACUCAGCUCGUAUGCAGGUGAUGGAUGCUGUGCACAAACAAAGCUGUACACAGCUCUCCUGAGGAAGAAGCUGCCUAGCAGUUUCAUAGCAGAAACUUAUAUUUGGUGGCCAGGGGCAGGAGUGAGAGAUGGACGGAUAGCCUCUGUGGCUUUUGUGAAGAUUCACACCUAAUAAGCAUGGUCAAACUGAUGCCAGGAGAUCUGAUAAAAAUUGCACCACUUUUUAAAUCCCUGAUUUGAAAAAAUGACUUUUCAUAAUCAUUCUGCUUUAACAUUCUUGUGGAAGAAGACAGAAGAUGUAAAUUUCUGGAGAAGGGAGAAAUCCUAAUGCCAUACUUGGCCAGAACCCUAAUAAAGAAAUCAAACUGGUUGAAGAAUAGGCA